UACAAAGUUACACAAGAAGAAUUGGCCCUUGACCAGCCUGAUUGGUUGCAGGAGGGGACCAAUCAGAGGUACCUCCCAUUUUUCAUCUGCAGCCCAAUGCAAAGUAAUGACAUGGAUCUGGAGAGAUUCUCUUAGGAGAGAAUCUGGCUAAGUGUCUAGCAGGAUGAUUGAUUAACAAGAUGUUUUGUUUUCAUCAUCUCAGAGAUAACUGUAUUGAGGUAUAAUUGAUAUGCCAAAUAACUGGACACAUUCAACUUGUGCAAUUUGAUGAGUUUGGAGAUACACAUACAUCUGUGAAACCAUCACCAAAAUCAAGAACAACUUUCUCUGAUCUCUGUGGACAUGCUUAAAAUGGCUGACUCACACAGCAAGACUAUUUAACUGUGCCUAAAAUCAACCCACAUUCAGAUGCUAACUGUAAUCCUAUUCCCUGAUCCAUCAGGAAAAAGAGUCUGAUUGACAUAACUUGUCAAGUGUUCGCCCCAGCUUCUAUCAACUAUGGGGAAGGAAGGGCCAGAAGAGGUGUAACCAUCAUGGCUACCAGGUUUCGAAAUAUUUACAUUACAUACUGCAUUUAUUAAAAUACAAAUUAAAUCUGCAAUAAAAAACUAAUUGACCAUUCUCUGG
This 627-nucleotide long non-coding RNA is filed under the name Homo sapiens (human). RNAcentral's name for it is "long intergenic non-protein coding RNA 2756". Lineage: Eukaryota; Metazoa; Chordata; Mammalia; Primates; Hominidae. The record is from RNAcentral.